This 1889-nucleotide ribosomal RNA is filed under the name Anaerostipes caccae L1-92. RNAcentral's name for it is "bacterial LSU rRNA". It matches the Rfam family "Bacterial large subunit ribosomal RNA", at positions 263 to 2179 of the family's 2925-position model. The record is from RNAcentral. Lineage: Bacteria; Bacillati; Bacillota; Clostridia; Lachnospirales; Lachnospiraceae.
AAGAGCCCAAACCAGGAUGCGUGCAUCCUGGGGUUCGGACUGCGACGUGGGAUUAUGUAGGACAGGAGAGCGGCCUGGGAAGGCCGGCCAGAGAGGGUGAAAGCCCCGUAUCCGAAGUCUAAAGUACCCUAGCAGGAUCCAGAGUACCACGAGACACGAGAAACCUUGUGGGAAUGAGCGGGGACCACCCCGUAAGGCUAAAUACUCCUUAGUGACCGAUAGCGCAUAGUACUGUGAAGGAAAGGUGAAAAGGACCCCGGGAGGGGAGUGAAAGAGAACCUGAAACCCUAUGUUUACAAGCUGUGGAACCCCUUUAGAUGGGGAACUGCGUACUUUUUGUAGAACGGUCCGGCGAGUUGCCCGUACUGGCAAGGUUAAGGACUUAAGGUCCGGAGCCGAAGUGAAAGCAAGCGUUAAGAGCGCGAAACUAGUCAGUGAGGGCAGACCCGAAACCGGGUGACCUAUCCAUGUCCAGGUUGAAGCUUCCGUAAGAGGAAGUGGAGGACCGAACCCACAUCCGUUGAAAAGGGUGGGGAUGAGGUGUGGAUAGCGGAGAAAUUCCAAUCGAACCCGGAGAUAGCUGGUUCUCCUCGAAAUAGCUUUAGGGCUAGCCUCAUCAAAGUCUGCUGGAGGUAGAGCACUGAAUUGUCUAGGGGGCGUCAAAGCUUACCAAAACAUAUCAAACUCCGAAUGCCAGCCAGAUGAUUGAUGGGAGUCAGACUGUACGAGAUAAGUUGGACAGUCGAAAGGGAAACAGCCCAGACCACCAGCUAAGGUCCCAAAGUACGUGUUAAGUGGAAAAGGAUGUGGGAUUUCAAAGACAACUAGGACGUUGGCUUAGAAGCAGCCAUACAUUGAAAGAGUGCGUAAUAGCUCACUAGUCGAGAGAUCCUGCGCCGAAAAUGUCCGGGGCUAAAACACGACACCGAAGCUGUGGAAUGUAGUAAUACAUUGGUAGAGGAGCAUUGUAAGCGGGAUGAAGCCAUACCGUAAGGAGUGGUGGACUGCUUAGAAGAGAGAAUGCCGGAAUGAGUAGCGAGAGGAAGGUGAGAAUCCUUCCGGCCGAAUAUCUAAGGUUUCCAGAGUAAAGCUGAUCUGCUCUGGGUAAGUCGGGACCUAAGGCGAGGGCGAGAGCCGUAGUCGAUGGAUAACUGGUUGAAAUUCCAGUACCACAUAAAAACAGAACUGUGGGGACACAGAAGGGAAAUGGGAGCCAGGAAUGGAAACACUGGUGCAAGCGAAGUAGCCGUAUGGGAGGCAAAUCCCUCAUGCAAGGCAAAGGCGUUACGCGGACCGAACAAAAGUAGGGAAGCCCAGGCCCCCAGCUGUCAAGAAAAGCCGCUAUUGUUUUUUAUGUGCCCGUACCGUAAACCGACACAGGUGGAUGAGGAGAGAAUCCUAAGGCCGACGGGAGAAGUGUUGUUAAGGAACUCGGCAAAAUGACUCCGUAACUUCGGGAGAAGGAGUGCCAUAGCGAUAUGGCCGCAGAGAAUUGGCCCAAGCAACUGUUUAGCAAAAACACAGGUUUAUGCAAAACCGCAAGGUGAAGUAUAUGGGCUGACGCCUGCCCGGUGCUGGAAGGUUAAGGGGAGGGCUUAGCGCAUUAGCGCGAAGGUCUGAACUUAAGCCCCAGUAAACGGCGGCCGUAACUAUAACGGUCCUAAGGUAGCGAAAUUCCUUGUCGGGUAAGUUCCGACCCGCACGAAAGGCGUAAUGAUUUGGGCACUGUCUCAACAACACACCCGGUGAAAUUGAAAUACCAGUGAAGAUGCUGGUUACCUGCGCCAGGACGGAAAGACCCCAUGGAGCUUUACUCCAGCUUGAUACUGGGAUUCGGUACUGCAUGUACAGGAUAGGUGGGAGACUGAGAAGAAAGGACGCCAGUCCUU